Non-coding RNA from Taeniopygia guttata (zebra finch), 709 nucleotides. Lineage: Eukaryota; Metazoa; Chordata; Aves; Passeriformes; Estrildidae. The record is from RefSeq and is a predicted model, not a curated record.
AGGUUCUGGGAUUCACCACACCACAAAUUUUCAAAGAUAUCAAUAAAAGGUUGUUUUAAAUAUCAUCUAGAUAGAAGAUCACCCACCCAACUGUGAUCACAGAACUAGAGAACUAUGAGUGAAGGAGUGGGUAAAUCUGGAGUGCAGUCAUGCAUCUGGCUCAGGGAAUAACCAAACAGCCUCUGCACAGCUCAAAGCAAAUACCUGUUUAUCUGCAUGCUAAAUACAUACAUACUUCUUACAUGAAUACAUAGAGAGGAACAUUGAAUAGCAGAGGAUUUUAUAUUAUGUUUCCAAAUAUUCCCAUUUUAAAAUACUUUAUUUUAUAUAUCCAAAAUUUCAAACCCACAUAGCUUUCAAGGCAGUUUUUCAUAUUCUUUCUACUCAGUAAGUCUGUUCUUACACAGAACAAUGUCUAUAAAGAUGAGUUAUCCAACCUUGAUAAAAGCUUGAAAGCAAAGCUUCCUUACUUGUUUUUAGACUGGUUUACAAACCAAUACUUCUUUCUUUUUAAUUUUUUUUCAUAAAGGAUACAUAAAUAUUAGUCAUUUCUUGUCAAUAUUCCACCCUGGAUAUACAGAGGUGUAUAAUUCUGUGCAAAGCAGCCUCAACCAAAAGCAAUACCUGGCUCCAGUUUAACCUGAAGCUUGCUGACCGGGUUGUCUUCUCCAAGGAGCUUCAUCUGUCUGUGGAGAGCAUCGAGGCGGAA